RNAcentral lists this ribosomal RNA (465 nucleotides) under Vreelandella stevensii. Its description in RNAcentral is "partial 16S ribosomal RNA". It matches the Rfam family "Bacterial small subunit ribosomal RNA", at positions 338 to 795 of the family's 1533-position model. The record is from RNAcentral. Lineage: Bacteria; Pseudomonadati; Pseudomonadota; Gammaproteobacteria; Oceanospirillales; Halomonadaceae.
CCUACGGGUGGCAGCAGUGGGGAAUAUUGGACAAUGGGCGAAAGCCUGAUCCAGCCAUGCCGCGUGUGUGAAGAAGGCCUUCGGGUUGUAAAGCACUUUCAGUGGGGAAGAAAGCCUUGGGGCUAAUACCCUCGAGGAAGGACAUCACCCAUAGAAGAAGCACCGGCUAACUCCGUGCCAGCAGCCGCGGUAAUACGGAGGGUGCGAGCGUUAAUCGGAAUUACUGGGCGUAAAGCGCGCGUAGGCGGUCUGAUAAGCCGGUUGUGAAAGCCCCGGGCUCAACCUGGGAACGGCAUCCGGAACUGUCAGGCUAGAGUGCAGGAGAGGAAGGUAGAAUUCCCGGUGUAGCGGUGAAAUGCGUAGAGAUCGGGAGGAAUACCAGUGGCGAAGGCGGCCUUCUGGACUGACACUGACGCUGAGGUGCGAAAGCGUGGGUAGCAAACAGGAUUAGAUACCCCGGUAGUC